RNAcentral lists this unclassified non-coding RNA (364 nucleotides) under Hevea brasiliensis (rubber tree). Lineage: Eukaryota; Viridiplantae; Streptophyta; Magnoliopsida; Malpighiales; Euphorbiaceae. The record is from RNAcentral.
UGACGGCCAAGGCCUCCCCAGGCUUGACGCCGAGAUGCUCGAGCUCUACGUCGGUACCAGACAUGGCCGCAGCAUGAAACUCGAACAGCACGUUACAGGAUGCGGCCAGCUGAGAUAGUCUCUUGCCCACGAUUUGUAAACCGCCACCUCGAGCAUAAGCAGACACAGAGUCAUCAAUUCCGGUUAUCUUCACCCGUGGCGGCCCGCCCGGUCUCGCUGCAAGCGCCUGAAUCAGAGACACCCACUGGCUUCCUUGUGCAAUCUGGAAAUCGAUAAUGUGAACCAUGUCCUCGCCCUUCAUCGCCUCCGCAAUGGCACCAUUAGCAGACAUGUAGCCGAAUUUGAAGAACGGGCAGACCUCGUA